GCAAGGUGGGGCAGCAAAAGUGUAAGAAGACUGGAGAGUUGAGAGUACCAAGUUAUAAAAGGGUUUGAGCACCAGUGAAUUUUCUGUUUGAUCCUGUCCUUUCCAGACCAUAGAGAGUCACUCCAGUCUACCUUGGUCAGACUUGUACUUCAGUUGAUUUUUCCUCACUGACAGGCUGGAAAACCAGUGACUGGAUAUGCUCUUGAGGUGACUAGAUGGCCCCUGUGAAUGACUGUGAAGGAAAUUUUCCUGUAGCUGAAAAAAAUUUCAUUUUCUAUGGGACCUUCAUCCACAGCCCACUUAGACCUGACAAUCCUAAGUGAUCUACCUGCGGCUCAGGACUGUUACACACCUAGCAAACGUUAAAGGCACAAUUUGAACACAAGUUGUCCCUGACUCCAAAUCCAGCAUUCGGUCUGCUAGACCAGCCUGCCAGCUAAGAAGCUGCAUCACAGUGAAUGAAUAGAGUCUGAAGUCCAAGGACCUACAUUUGAAUUCCAACUCUGAAACAGAAACUACCAGAUGACAUGGCCUGCACAAUCAGAUGGUUUUUAAGUCUACUCAAAGGAGGGUUCCAAUGGCUCACCCCCAGGAUUCCAUGUUGCCUCCUGUUCUGGCGAACAUUUGUACCAUUGAAUUGGACAGCAGCCAGUAUGGCAUCUCCAUCAAAUGUACAGAUGACAA
This is a non-coding RNA of Phascolarctos cinereus (koala), 684 nucleotides long. The record is from RefSeq and is a predicted model, not a curated record. NCBI's taxonomy places the organism in Eukaryota, Metazoa, Chordata, Mammalia, Diprotodontia, Phascolarctidae.